RNAcentral lists this ribosomal RNA (433 nucleotides) under uncultured bacterium. RNAcentral describes it as "bacterial SSU rRNA". It matches the Rfam family "Bacterial small subunit ribosomal RNA", at positions 29 to 506 of the family's 1533-position model. The record is from RNAcentral.
AUGAACGCUGGCGGUGUGCCUAACACAUGCAAGUCGAGCGAACCCGCAAGGGUUAGCGGCGAACGGGUGAGUAAUGGUACGGAACGUACCCUGAACUCGGGGAUAAGCAACCGAAAGGUCGUCUAAUACCCGAUAGUCCCCUCACGGGGUAAAGAAUUUCGGUUCAGGAGCGGCCGUACUCCCAUCAGCUAGUUGGUAAGGUAAUGGCUUACCAAGGCGACGACGGGUAACUGGCGUGAGAGCGCGACCAGUCACAAUGGGACUGAGACACGGCCCAUACUCCUACGGGAGGCAGCAGUUAGGGAUCUUGCGCAAUGGACGAAAGUCUGACGCAGCGACACCGCGUGGAGGAAUGAAGGCCUUCGGGUCGUAAACUCCUUUUCCCAGGGACGAUGAUGACGGUACCUGGGGAAUAAGCACCGGCUAACUACGU